GUGAGUGGUGGUUCAUGGGCAAAUGAGUGGAAACGUUAUUAUCCCUUGUCCAGAGGAAACUGGGCAGUACCAGAAGCACCACCUGUGGCACCCGGAGCUGCUCAGAGGAAGGUCUGAAAAUCACAAACCUCAGACUAACCCCUUCAUUUGAGAAACUGGGGCCCAGAGGGCUGAAGUGACUUUUGCAGUGUCAUGAAAUUGUCAACCAAAGGACUGAAUCCCAGCGCACUGUGCUUUCAGCUGUUUUAUCCUAUAUUCCUGAAGGAUAAGUUCUAUAGAAUAGAUUAGCUCCUAUCAGUGGGUAGCCCUCUAGGGAGAGAACUGUCAGAGGGUUUUGUUCACACCUUGUUUCAAAUGCUGCUGCUCCUUCAGGACUGUGGACACGGAGACCUGCUUCCUAAGACUUCCCUCCCCACUUGGCAAUCAUCUUGAAUUUGUAUUAGAAGUAAGGAAAUGGGACUGCUUUCUCCAAAUAUUUAUAAUGACUUUAUUGCUCUGAAUUGCCACACAUCAGAGAGAACUUUUAACCAUUAGGGGUCUUGACUUCCUAUUUGUGAAAAGUGGAGUGACUCUGAUCAAGAAGGCUCAACUCCUUUUGGUUGGAGAUCACAGGAAUGGCAUCAUGUCAUGAUGGCCAUAGGGGAGCCACACCAGCUGUACUGUCCCCAGUGGAAAGAGCCAGGACCCAGGACCCAGGGCAGGCAGUGACAGUUUCCCAGAGCACAAUCACUGUUGACUUGGGAGGUACCACUGGCAAAGUGGCCUGUGAAGAUCACCUUGUCGUAGCCUUGGUUCCUUGCCCUCCAGAGAGCCGACUCCCCUUCUCUGGGCUGGAUGAGCAGGAGAGACAGAGACACCUGGCCCUCCCGGAACAGAGUGAAGCUGACAAGGUAGGUGCCAUUGUUGAGGUCGCUCACCUUUCCCGAGGCGCCUGCCUGCAGGGCUGGGGAGGACAUCCUGGCCCUCAGGAAAUCCCCGCCAUAUGGCUUCUGCGUCCCAAGUGGUCCCUCACCUCCAGCAGGACAUCCAGCUGAUGCCCCUGUGGUAUGUGUCUUGAAGGCUGAGGAUGGUGGCUGUGCUGUGUGUGGCGCUGGUGGUGGAGGUCACGUGGGUGAAGGGUCUGGGUGGGACCAUCUGGUCUAGUUUCUCCCUGAUUUUAUCUCCGCUUAGUCUUUGUUGGUGCAACUAUUGGAUUUAGUGGUGCUUUAGGACAUGAUUUCGUGAUGAAAUUCCAGUGAUGGAGGGAGAUGGGCAGCUUGAGUGCAAUCCAUAACUGAAAUGACAAGGAGUACAAGAGAGACCAUAGAAAAUAUUCCUGUUUAAUGUGAUAAUUUUGGUAGGUUAGCCACAUUCUCUUUUAUAAAAUGAUGAGAGGUACAAAAAUUAAAAUGAUUUGAGAUUUCACUCCCAUAUAUGUUUCAUAGGAAAAGUGAGUUUCCUUACAUCGAUGGUAGAACUCCACUUUUCACUGGCUAAUCUAUUUUGAAUGAGCCACUCAACCCCAAAGAGCCCUAGGAUCUUCCUUAAAGGGGUGACCACAAAAUACAUUUUUACUGGGCAAUUGUGAAGACCACACGAGAAAAUGCUUUUUAACUGCAUAGCAGAGAACACAUGUUUAUUGUUCUGUUAUUCUUUAUCUUAAAAUUAAAUUCAGACUGAAAUAAAUCCUUAAGGAAAUGUUUAAGAAGCACGGAUCUCUACUCUUACCAUUUUGAUGAUUUUUCUCUCAUCUUCCGUGCACCGUUUUACAUGAUGAUGAACAAACUGAAUAUUUACCAAUGAAUUUUGACUUUAAAAAAGCAUCAUUAAAAACUUUCCACCUUAUAUCAAAGGCCCCUAUAGUAUUCCAGCCUCUGGAUAUAGGUUAAUAUUUUACUCAUUCCUAUCUUUUAAGAUAUUUAUUGCAUUCAGCUUUUCUUUUUCUUUUUGCUUUUUAGGGCUGCACCUGCAGCAUAUGGAAGUUCCCAGGCUAGGGGUCUACUCAGAGCUGUGGCCGCUGGCCUUCGCCACAGCCACAGCCACACAGGAACCGAGCUGCAUCUGCAACCUACCCCACAGCUCAGGGCAACACCAGAUCCUUAAGCCACUGAGCGAGGCCAGGGAUUGAACCUGUGUCCUCAUGGAUACUAGUCGGGUUCAUUAACUACUGAGCCACGACGGGAACUCCUCAGCUUUUCUUUAUUACUUACUUAUAGUUCUUUUUUUUCCCUCAUUUUAUUUAUUUAUUAUUACUCAAAUGAAUUUAUCACAUCUGUAGUUGUAUAAUGAUCAUAACAAUCUGAUUUCACAGGAUUUCCAUCCCAUAGCCCAAGCACAUCCUCCCACCCCCCCAAACUGUCUCCUCAGGAGACCAUAAGUUUUUCAAUGUCUGUGAGUCAGCAUCUAUUCUGCAAAGAAGUACAGUCUGUCCUUUUUUCAGAUUCCACAUGUCAGUGAAAGCACUGGAUGUUGGUGUCUCAUUGUAUGGCUGACUUCACUUAGCACGAUAGUUUCUAGGUCCAUCCAUGUUGCAAAAAAUGCUGGUAUUUCGUUCUUUUUAAUGGCUGAGUAAUUAUUACUUACACGAUAUCUCUGAAUUUCCAAUAAAGGAAGAGUAGCUUGUAUUGGACUGGGUUACUAUGAUUAAUAUUAUUACUGUUUUAUCAAACUUUUAAAAAAUAAUAUUUUUAUUUAUCAAAUAAUAGAGAUGGUAAGAGCAAAGACUUAGGACAUGCCAGAUACCAAUCUAAAUGCGUUUCAUAUGGCAGCCCAUUAAUUCUCACAAUAACAUAUCAGGUGUUUAUUUUUAUGACCCCCUUUUUAGAUGAUGAAACUGGUUCAUAGCAAAGUUAAGGAACUUAAUCAAGCUUGUAGAGCUGGUCAGCAACAGAGUCAGGUUUUACUCCCAGGCAAAUGUCUCUAAAAAAUGAGCUACCCAGUGCUGCGAGUGUGCAGUAAGACUAGACUUCUCUUUCACUGCUGAUUUAGGUGCACAUUGGCCCCAUGUUUCUGGAAAACAAUUCUACAGCACGUAUUAAGACUUUUAACAGGGUUCACUGCAUUUACCAAUAAGUCUAUUCCUGAGAACUCUGUGAAUCAUAGUAAUGUCUCCUGCAGAUACAAGUGGAAAAACUCUAGACACCCCCGCCCCCUGCCCCAAACUUCUCUUUUAAAAGCACUAGAGAGUGAUCAUGAGCAGACAGACCCUGGAGGAGGGUUGAAACUUGGAAGAAGGGACAACGCUGGGCUUGUAUUUAUGAAAAAUGCCACCUGAAGUGCUUCAAGCUGAAGUGAAAUUACACCAAAAAGAAACAGAGAUCUUUAGGAAGAAACAAAAAGCAACCAGAAAUGGUAAAUAUAUGGACUAAUAGUCAAAUACUCCGUGUUGAUCUCCUAAUUUCUUUAAAAUGCAUGUGAUUAUUUAAAAACUCUAACUUUGUAAUAAUAUGACAACGAUAAAGAGUGGGUGGGGAAUAGGUGGCAGUAAGUGGUUGAAAGGUGAUUACAGAUUUACAUGAGGUAGCACAACAUUCAUUCCAAAGGUUAAUAAGAAUGUGUAUUACAAUCUCUAGAGAAACCACUUUAAAAACAACUUAGAGCUAUGAAAAU
RNAcentral lists this long non-coding RNA (3588 nucleotides) under Sus scrofa (pig). RNAcentral's name for it is "lncRNA (ENSSSCG00030064249.1)". The record is from RNAcentral. Lineage: Eukaryota; Metazoa; Chordata; Mammalia; Artiodactyla; Suidae.